This 6356-nucleotide long non-coding RNA is filed under the name Sus scrofa (pig). Its description in RNAcentral is "lncRNA (ENSSSCG00000063147.1)". The record is from RNAcentral. Lineage: Eukaryota; Metazoa; Chordata; Mammalia; Artiodactyla; Suidae.
AUAUAUAACUGAUUCACUUUGCUAUAAACCCACAGCUAAUACAACAUUGUAAAUCAACUAUACCCCAAUAAAAGAUGAACAAAAAUGUUUAGUUGUCUGUUCAUUGCAAUAUUUGACUAUGGUUAUAUAAGAAACGUCCUUGUUAGAAAAUAACACGGAGCUAUUAAGACAUAAAAGGACGCUGUAUUGCCAACUUAACGCUCAAUCUUCCAGAAAGAAAGAUAAUAGGCUCCCAGAUACACAGAAGAAAUGAUAAAGCAAGGAGGCCAAAUGGAAACCAUUGGAUCAUUUGGGUAAAACGUGUGUAUUUACCUCUGGGAGGUCCUCGGACUACUCUUGCAACUUCUCUUGAAGUUUGGAAUCAUAGUUAAAAAAGCAGAACUGUCUCCACUUCUCUGCCUUGGAGACAUUUACAUAUGUAGAGUUCAGUGCAUAUUCUGAGGUAAGCAGAUCCUAAAACGGUUCCGAAUGCACGCAGCCUCCUGAUAUGCAAGCCCUGGUGUGAUGGCCUCCCGGUUGUGUGUGGGCUGAAGCUAGUGACUUGUUUCGGAAGAGGAGAAUCCUGCAAAGGGGUGGUCAUCACUGCUGAAGUUCAGCUCUCAAGGACUGUGACCUCCAUCUUGCUGGCACCUCUCUGGCUCGGCUCCCAUGCUCACUUGAAGGAAAGCCGCCCACCAUGUUUUAAGUUGCCUUAUGGAGAGGCCCACCUGGCCAGAACCUAACAGUGGUCCCCCGCCAACAGCCACAGAGGGUCUGAGGCCCUCCGUGCAACAGCAGACAGGGAAGUAAAUCCUGCCAACAAGCCCAGGCAUGAACUUGGAAGCUGACCCUCCCUCGGUCAAGCCUUGAGAUAACUGCAGCCCCCGCCAACAUCUUGACAGCAGCCUUUAGAGAGGCCCAGAGCCAGAGGACCAACCCGGGGUAAGCUGCACCAGGAAUCCUAACCCACAGAAGCUGUACGAUAAUAAAUGUUUGUUGCUUAAUACACUCUGUUUUGAGGAAAUUUACUAUGCAGAAAUAAAUAAUAGCAUUUGCCAAUUUUCUUUUAAUUUUUUUUUCUUUUCUUGUGGGAGAGGAGUUGACACUGUCAUGGAGAGCUUUCCAUGUCAUUAUAUAAAAUACUGUGUUAUUAUUUUUAACAGCCAGUGUUGUUAAGUAUUGUCCAGAUUUUUCAUUGGGAUGAAGUAAGUACCUGGCGGGGAUGGGAGGGGGUGAUAACUGGAGUUAAAAUCUAGCUCAUGCUCCAUUCACCAAACUAUGUUUCCUGGCAUUUGGCUUUGUUUACCCAGAGGAGAGGGUAUCUUUUUCUAAUUUACAAAAAGGUGCCCUCUGGGCUAGUGGCACCCUGCUAACAACUGCAUAGUAUUCCAUAGUAUGGAUAUAGUAUAAUUCCCUAAACUGUCUCAUCUUGCUGGCCAUUUAGACUGCUUCCUGUGUUAUUGCAAUAACAAUAAUAAUAUAAUAAACGGCAGUGAACAUCCUUGUCUAUAGAGCUUUGUAUUCCCGUACAAAUAUUUCUGUAGAAAAAUAUUCCAAAAUGGGGUUACUGGACCAUAGGUUGUGUCCAUCAUUAAUUUUGAUAGAUCCUGAUAAAUUAACCUUACUAAAGGUUUUCACCUGUUUAUUCUCUUAACCGGUAUAAAGAAGUGGCUUAGUUCCUUAUCCUCUCCACAACACUAGAUGAGAUCAAUCUUUUAAAUGUUUGCCAAUCUGAUAAGUGAAAAAUUUUAUCUCAGUUUUAUAGAUCAUUUGUAGAAAACCAAAUAUUUCCACUUUCUGUUCUCUUGAGUCAGGACAAUUUCCUAGUAAUACUGAGUCAACCUUUUCCUGCAAAUAUGCAGGCAAUGUUGAAAAAAAAUCUCUCAGAGACCUGAGAAUCAGACCUUACCCAGCCAAUGUCUGUUCACUCCAUCCUAUCUCUUGUGUGAAAUGUGAGUAAAAGAGAGAAGUACAAUGGGAAGGGAGGGUAGUGGAGGGUACAAUCCCAGCAAAGGUCUUUCAGACUUGGACUUUCUAAUCACGUUGCAGGAAAACUUGUAUUGACGCUUCACCAGAUAUGCUUAUUUAGCUACCACUAACCCCUAAGAUCACUUUCAUUCAACUAUUUUGAUGCGGGUUAUGUGAGCAGAACCAAAUGUCCGUGAGACUCCCAGGUUCGGAGCCACACAGUAAGACUUGCUCGUCUACUAGGCGCAUGUGUUAGUCCAAGCCCUCUGGGAAACAGAUACCAAAACAGGAUUACAUGUUGAAGGAUUUUAUUAGGGGAAAGCUCUGUUGUGGAAAAUGGUGAGGGAGAGCUGGAAGAGCUGCGAGACAGUGAUGCAAACCUGACCCCAAGGGAAGAAGAGGAGGAAGAUAGGGUGGGCAGAAGCAUCCUAGACUAUGAUGCAGUCUAAGGAAGGUUCAGCAAGACCUCGGGAAAUCCUUCUCCAUCAGAGGAGUCUGGUGUCCCCUAGGGUGCAAUGUGCCUGGGUAUCCCUGUUGCACCCAGUCGCUGGCUGGGAGAAGCUCACCCUGGAGUAGCCCCAGUGUGAAUGGGGCUGUUGAUUUCGGAGGCCUUGGUCAAUUGCACUCUCUAGAAAUGGAGCCUCCUAGACUCCUUGUCAAGGCCACCACCACACAUUCUCAAUGAGCUAAUCUGCCGACAGAGCCUCCGCAGAAAUACGCAGAUAGGACAUGGAGAAGGAAUUUGUGCUUCGUGUUCAGUUUCUCCCUUCCACAAAUUCUAUGGAACUGCUUGCCUUACUUGCAAAUGAACAAUAGCAUUUCUGUCUGGUUAACGGUGGCAUAGAUUCCCUGUCCCACAGGUGAAGACUCGUAAAACAGAGAAGUAGCUGGAAUUCUGUGUGCAAGAAACAACGAAAGGAACAGGAAUUGAGGAAUGUAAAAGAGCAAAAAGAAGGAAGAAGAGGGGAAGUCAGAGAAACCAAGAAAUCCCCAGAGGCAGGUGGCCUGAGAAAUUCUCAGCAAAAGGCUGAAGGACACUGAAGAGUAAGAAGGUCCAGCCAUCAGAAUAUUGAUCAUUUACGCAAAGCACCAGCGGCAGAUAUACAACUUGCCAAUUUAUUUAUUUAUUUUUAACUAGGUUCAUAAGUGUUAGAUUUCUGGGGGGAGAUGGGGUUAAACACUAGUUCCUUUCUAGAAUAUACAUCUUAGAUACUAGGUUUGAGUUCUCCUUGUCUCAUCUCCAGGGGGACAUUUUAUUAUGUUGAACUCUAAGGAACAAUCCAAAUUUUUCAAUUAAAUUCAAAUUUCUCUUUAUCAAAUAUUUUUUUGGAAUAUUUAUAAGCCAGAACUUGGAAAUGUCUUGUGCUGUGCAAAUAUUGUUAGACUUGUUCAAUCUGUGUAUAUGUCUGGACUGGUCAAAUCUUAUCUUUCAGAUUGUAAAGUCUUUAGGAGUAUCUUUUUGAUUUAGUUUUGUUUGUUUGUUGGCCACAACCACAGCAUGCAGAAGUUCCUUGGCCAGGGAUGGAACCCUUGCCACAGCAGUGACAAAGUCAGAUCCUUAACCCACUGAGCCACCAGGGAACUCCUAGGAGUAUCUUAUAAAUAUUUCUGUAGUCCCUGCAUUUAUCACAACAGGAUUAUUUGCUUAUGAUCAUGAUGUUUGAAUUCUAGAGUCUGUGAACAAAAGCAAAUAUUUUUUACACAGGUUAAUACAAAUCCAGUAAGCUCCCCCUUAUCUAUUUCCUCUGUCGUAUCUUUGGGACAUUUGAUACUGUUGAUCAAUCACUUACUGAAUGACACUUCUUCCUGGGCUCCCAUUAUAUUAACUUCUGGGCUCUUCUCCUAGCUCCCUGCUUGCUCUUUCUCCCUAACCAUCAGCUCUUUCUCUUUCUAUCACCUCUUAAUUUUGAAUAUCACACGUCAAUUUUCCUGAGGCUUUCCAUUUUGUGGCUUCCCAUUAUCCCCUCUAACUUAAUGUUCCUAUUUUCAAUCCCAAAUCUUACUUAGCUUUGAUCCUAUAGUUCCAGGGUCCUCCAGGAUGUCUCCUCUAAAAUGUCCUGCCAUUGUUGCUAAUUCAGUUUGGUCCAAAGCCUUCUCUUGCUAUUGCUUAUCAAUGGCACUGCCGUUGUCUUUCACAUCUGCAAAGGAAGCUUUGAUGAUAGCUGUGAAUUAUUCUUGUUUCUCUACUCACAUCUGACUGCUUUACCAAACUGUAUUUCUCUUUUCUUUGUGAAACAAUAUUUCAGCUACCUGUCUAAUCCCAAACCCUCAGCUAAAGGAGGAUUUGUGGUUCUUGUAAGCUUGCCUCAAAUCCCUUUUCUCCAUCUAAGAGAAAUCUCAGGGUCUCUCUCUCUCAAUGUUUCCAGAGUCUUUACUUAGUAAGAUCUUAGCUAGUCAUUCUGGCUCCUAUUUGCUGCUUCUGGUGGAUUUUCAAUCUCCCUCACAGCUCACCUUUGAGGCGGAUCACACUGGGUAUCCCAGAUGGACCCAAAAAUAGGCUGAGACCGCUUUGCUUAAUUUUACCCCAAACACCUCUCAUCCAACAAAGCCCAUUGAACCAACCGAACUGAAGAUUUCAUGAGUAAUAGCAAGGGGCCCAUGCGAUUGCCCUCAGAGCAGACAACAAAACUAAAUAUUCCACUUCUCUGUGUUUAAGAGCUAUGUAUCCAUUCAGGUCACCCGGGAACAUUCCCUAACCAUUCCUUCUACGGGGGCUGCGGCGUCCAUCACCUUCUGAGUUCUAGCGCCUUUUUCUCAAGUGGCUCACCCUCAACCCCCAAAGUUCCUUGUCACUUCCACAGGUAAAGUAGAUCAAGUGGGACCAACCGUCGAAGAUGCUCAAGACAGUUCAGUUUUCACUUUGUCUUAUAGUAUCGAGAGCUUCUAACCAGUAGGUUUCACAUCUGAGUAGUUUUUAUAAUCCCUGUGAAAUCUGACCUGUUGCCUGUCACAUAGCAGGCUCUUGAUAAAUGGCUCAUACAUUUAACUGGGGCUGGGUUAAUUCUCUUUGGAAACUGGGAAUUGUUUUUUCACUCUGCUGUUUACUCUUCAAUGACAAUGACUAUACUCCGAAAAGUCAUUCCAACUGGAAAGGUUAAAACAUAUAUAAUAAACUCUAUGAUACCAAAUAACCUGUUGGAUUGGUUUUUCAUCUUGAAAUUACCAAUUCCUUGGAACUCCUUAGUAGAAAGGUUGGAUGAGUUACUGCAGGAAAUAUUCAUUAGGGACCAUCUGUAUGUAAAGGCCUAGGUUAGGAGCUUCGUAGGCUCCAAACCUAACUCACACGUGGUCCUAACUCAGGAUACUGUGAUCUGUAGAGGUGACCAGGAUAUGAAUUCAAAGCUUUAUAAGGCAAGGGUACCGUGUGCAGAGGGUGUUGACUCUCGGGUGAUGCAGGAAAAUUGUGACUCAAACCCACAGGUGUCACAGCUCGGGCUAACCAUCCCCUCCACUCCCUGACGUUGCCACGUUGUCAUCAGAGCUUAUAGCUAGGCUUAUAGUAACUCCAUUUGGCUUUAUUUUUACCCUUUAUCUUGAAAAGCUUGCAGGUUUAAAUAUCCUUAUAGAGCAAAGAGAAUCUUGACUUAGAUUUCAUAUUUCCUUGGCUUCCCUGAAAAAAAAAGAUUUUUUUUUUUUUUUUCUGUUGACACAGCUAAUACUAUACUUCUGCCCACUGAGCGGAUCCACAAUGGCUCUGAAAUUUAGUCAGGUGCACCAUAGCCCCAUCCAGGCCACUAGGCUUCCAGUCUCAAUGAAUCAAACCUGACCACCUCUGAGAGAACAUGGACCAUUUGGUUGGACUCCAUUCAAACACUGAAACUGCCUCUGCAGCGCCCCUCCCAAGGGACAGUGCAUCUGUGAUUGGACAUCUCCAGUGAAAAAGACCUCACUGCCUCUUGAGGCUGCCCAUCCUACCAUCACAGUCGCUCUUAGAAUUGUCCUCCCCUUAAUUGUGUGAACGUCUGUCUCCUGGCAUCUUCCUCACUGUUCCUAGCUCUAUCCUAUGGAGUCAUCCAGGAAAAAAAAACUAAUCAUUUUUCCAAUGAUAAGUCUUAUAUGUGACAGUGACUAUAUUGCUCCCCUACUGAGUUUUCUCUUCUCCAGACCGAAACCUCCUGGGCCCUCGACCACACUUCAUCAGACUGGCUUUUGAGGCUUUUUGGGGAUUGUACACCUUUCUACAGAACAUUCUAUACUUUAUUCCUUUUUUAAACUAUAGCAUCUGGAUGACACAUUCAUGCAUGUUUUAAAUGCAGUAGAAUAAGACAAGACAAUCAUCUCCUUGGUUUUAAACAUGAGCUACUAUGAUGCCUAUUAAAAGCACAUUUCUUUUUGGGGUGGGGGGGAGAUGUCACUCGCAAUAUUUCUUUAUGUUGAGCUUUAUGUUCAUUAAAAUCUCUGACUUUUUU